UACGGAGGGGGCUAGCGUUAUUCGGAUUUACUGGGCGUAAAGCGCACGUAGGCGGACUGGAAAGUCAGAGGUGAAAUCCCAGGGCUCAACCUUGGAACUGCCUUUGAAACUCGCAGUCUUGAGUUCGAGAGAGGUGAGUGGAAUUCCGAGUGUAGAGGUGAAAUUCGUAGAUAUUCGGAGGAACACCAGUGGCGAAGGCGGCUCACUGGCUCGAUACUGACGCUGAGGUGCGAAAGCGUGGGGAGCAAACAGG
RNAcentral lists this ribosomal RNA (253 nucleotides) under uncultured Rhodobacter sp. RNAcentral's name for it is "partial 16S ribosomal RNA". It matches the Rfam family "Bacterial small subunit ribosomal RNA", at positions 524 to 776 of the family's 1533-position model. Lineage: Bacteria; Pseudomonadati; Pseudomonadota; Alphaproteobacteria; Rhodobacterales. The record is from RNAcentral.